AACGUAGGACACAAGCGUUAUCCGGAAUUACUGGGCGUAAAGCGUGCGUAGGUGGUGAGUUAAGUCUGUCGUGAAAGCCCCGGGCUCAACCUGGGAAUGGCGAUGGAUACUGGCUCGCUAGAGUGCGGUAGAGGAGAGUGGAAUUCCCGGUGUAGCAGUGAAAUGCGUAGAGAUCGGGAGGAACAUCAGUUGCGAAGGCGGCUCUCUGGACCAGCACUGACACUGAGGCACGAAAGCGUGGGGAGCAAACAGG
Molecule: ribosomal RNA, 253 nt
Filed under: uncultured bacterium
Lineage: Bacteria
Description: partial 16S ribosomal RNA
Rfam family: Bacterial small subunit ribosomal RNA
Source: RNAcentral